Molecule: long non-coding RNA, 1392 nt
Organism: Symphalangus syndactylus (siamang)
Lineage: Eukaryota; Metazoa; Chordata; Mammalia; Primates; Hylobatidae
Source: RefSeq, a predicted model, not a curated record
ACACGUGUGUGGGCUGAGGCGCCGGAGCCUGGAGGGGGAACCGCGCGAUGCGGCUGCUGCGCUUCAUCUGUUCCCGGGCGCCGCUGGCUUGCUUCCCUUGUCAGCUGUGUGGGGACUGGCAGAGGGUGUGAGAGCGGGAAACGACCGGAUGAGCGGCGGGGAGCGUCCUGGGUGAGGAGGAGGAAGUCUGGUCUUAGGUGUGAAGGGUGCUGACGCGUUCCGGCGCCUCGCAGUGUCACUCUCGGCUUCUGAGUGUUGCCCUCCGCCGGAGCGGGUUUUCCUCAGCUGUGAAGCGCGGCUGCGGCCUGCCUGGGCUUUCCCCCGCCGGGGCGGUUCCGACGCCCGAGCCCAGCGGGCUUGGGCCUACCCUGUCGGGCCAGGCUAGUCGCUCCGGGGCUGGGAGUUACGGCGCCGGGGUUGGGGCGGAGAAGGCGAACUGGUUCAACUCGACCCGAUUAAGCAAGCGCAGCAGCGUAUGUUCUUGAAUCAUAGUAUUUCAUGUAAACAUUUUGAUUUAAGAGGAACAAAAGGGAAAAUAUUAACCGUUUUCAAGCAUCCAAAGGCGAAAUGCUUCAUCUCUGGGGUGAAGUAGAGGAGUAGCCUCUGAGGAUGAGUUGCAGUCGUGGGUGCAAGAAGCAGCGCUGAAGCAGAGUGCAGCGCUGGAAUAGGGCGGGAUGGAAUGGCGUGGGCACUUCAGACACCCGCGAGGAGUCCACGGCGGAACAGAUCCUGAGAUCAUUUUGAAAAAUCACUUUGUCUUCAGUUUGGUAAAAGUUUGGAGAAGGGCAGGACUUGGAAGACCAGCUUAGGGAGACUAGAUAGUAGCGACCUCCAAGGGAGAAAGUGGACAGAAAGAAUAUUUAUAUUUUGUGCCACACAACUCCGGGGAUAUUGUUUUCUCCUUUAAUUUUACUCGAAAAAGUAAUAAAUGCACAUGCUAAAAAAUUCAGAGCAUACAAAAGAAUAUACAAAGACUAUUAAGGUGUGGGAUUGUAGAGGGUUGAAUAAGAUCCCCCAAAAUUCACGUCCACCUAGACCCUCACAAUAUUAACUUAUUUGGAAAUAGGGUUUUUUGCAGAUGUAAUUAGUUAAGAUGAGGUCAUGCUGGUAUAGAGUGAGCCCUAAAUCCAAUGGUUGGCGCCCUUAGAAGAGGACACAUAGAUAAAUGAGCACAGAGGGAAGAAGGCCAUUUGGAGAUAGAAGCAGGGAUUGGAGUGAUGCAACUGGAAGCCAAGAAAUGCCGCAGAAUGCCAGGAGCCAGCACAAACUAAGAAAAGGCAAAGAAGGAUUAUUCCAAAGUGCCUUCCGAAGAAGCUUGGCCGUGCCAAAAACCUGAUUUCAGACUUCUAGCCCCCAAAACUGCAAGAGAAUAAAUUUUGUUGUUUUAAGACA